RNAcentral lists this unclassified non-coding RNA (1216 nucleotides) under Hevea brasiliensis (rubber tree). The record is from RNAcentral. Lineage: Eukaryota; Viridiplantae; Streptophyta; Magnoliopsida; Malpighiales; Euphorbiaceae.
AUUAGAAAGGAAGUUAACACCAUAUCAUUAAAGUGAAAGGGGAUCAAAAGAUAUAACUCAAUCUAAUUAUCAUUUUGAUGGACAAAAGUCAUUUAUUCAUUUGGAACUCCCAGUCUCGAGUUGAAGUGUACAGAAAGCUGCAGCUACUCUAGAAUUUGAAGUCCUGCCAGCAUUUGGACUCAGAAUAUGUGAACGAUAUCGUAUGCGAAAGUCCAGAAAAGCACGAACGACAUAAGCCCACUCAGAAAGCCAUCGAGUAGAAUCUGGUUCCAGCUUUCAAAAUAUGAAUGAGAGGAAAAUCCAGCCUUGGUUGCAAGUGCAAGUGAAGUAAUUGCCAUGACUAGGAAAUAAAAUAUAAAUCCAGUCAGGCCAGUGAAUCCCAAAAUUCCAGCAAUUACUCCACCAAUUAUAGACAAAAACGUCCGGCUGUAAUAUAUUAUCUUCAAGUUGUUUUGCAAAUUUUCAGCAUUGAAGAUCGGUAAAUCGUCGGCCGCAUCAGACGAUUUCUUCUCAGAAACAGCGGAGGAGUAUCCCGCCAUAACUUCAGCCGCCGUAUGAUCUGAAGUUAAAUACCAGGAAACAGAAAAUGGGAGAGAGGGGUUCUGUAAAUGAGCCAUGGAUCCCCAACGCUGAAGCUCAAGAUGAUACUGCUAAUGAUACACAAAAGGAGAGUCAGGAGAUGAAGAAUAAGGAUUUGAGUUCCAUUUAUCAGGAUCAAAGAGCACAACCAUGUCAUCUUAGCUCAUCAAUCUAUUAUGGGGGCCCAGAUGUUUAUACUCAUCCUCAGAAUUCCCACAAUUCCGGGGUGAACUCUGCUUACAAGAAGGAAGGGGGAGAAGAUGAUUCUGGGAGUGCUUCAAGAGGAAAUUGGUGGCAAGGAUCUCUCUAUUAUUAGUACUAGAUCACUUGCCAAGGUUUAUAUAUAUACUUAUUAAGGUACAUAGGAUCAUAGAGCUGCAGCACUACUUCUACUUCACCUCUUAUUGUAUGAAGCUAGAUGGUAGCGAGAUCGUUGUGAGAAAAAGCUGGUUGAUCCAUUUUCCAGCCAAAACAACAGAAUCUCUUUUAAGUUAAAUAUUAAUAGUUUUAUAAGCAUCUUUCUCAAUUUUACUGUAAAGAAUGCUGCUACUGCUGCUGCUCUGCUGUUUGUUGUUUAAACCUUGAUGUUUUUAACAUAAAGGAAAUCUGGGUUGCUGUUUGCUUAUUAGUAUCAUAU